GACGAACGCUGGCGGCGUGCUUAACACAUGCAAGUCGAACGGACAGGCCCUGCUUUUGUUGGGUUCUCGAGUGGCGAACGGGUGAGUAACACGUGUGUAACCUGCCCUUGACUUUGGGAUAACUUCAGGAAACUGGGGCUAAUACCGGAUAGGAGCUCCUGCUGCGUGGGGGGGGUUGGAAAGAUUCGGCUGUUGUGGCUGGACUAGCGGCUUAUCAGCUUCUUGGUGGGGUAGUGGCGUACCAAGGUUUUGACGGGUAGCCGGCCUGAGAGGGUGACCGGGCACCUUGGGACUGCGGUACGGCCCAGACUGCAACGGGAGGCAGCAGUGGGGAAUAUUGCGGAGUGGGCGGAAGCGUGAUGCAGCAACGCCGCGUGCGGGAUGACGGCCUUCGGGUUGUAAACCGCUUUGGCCUGUGACGAAGCGGGAGUGACGGUAAUGGGUAAGGAAGCAACGGCUAACUACGUG
This 468-nucleotide ribosomal RNA is filed under the name uncultured bacterium. RNAcentral's name for it is "partial 16S ribosomal RNA". It matches the Rfam family "Bacterial small subunit ribosomal RNA", at positions 28 to 507 of the family's 1533-position model. The record is from RNAcentral.